CCUACGGGAGGCAGCAGUAGGGAAUCUUCCACAAUGGGCGAAAGCCUGAUGGAGCAACGCCGCGUGGGUGAAGAAGGUCUUCGGAUCGUAAAACCCUGUUGUUAGAGAAGAAAGUGCGUGAGAGUAACUGUUCACGUGUCGACGGUAUCGAACCAGAAAGCCACGGCUAACUACGUGCCAGCAGCCGCGGGAAUACGUAGGUGGCAAGCGUUAGCCGGAUUUAUGGGGCGUAAAGGGAACGCAGGCGGUCUUUUAAGUCUGAGGGGAAAGCCUUCGGCUUAACCGGAGUAGUGCAUUGGAAACUGGGAGACUUGAGUGCAGAAGAGGCGAGUGGAACUCCAUGUGUAGCGGUGAACUGCGUAGAUAUAUGG
Molecule: ribosomal RNA, 371 nt
Filed under: uncultured bacterium
Lineage: Bacteria
Description: partial 16S ribosomal RNA
Rfam family: Bacterial small subunit ribosomal RNA
Source: RNAcentral